This 483-nucleotide ribosomal RNA is filed under the name uncultured bacterium. RNAcentral describes it as "partial 16S ribosomal RNA". It matches the Rfam family "Bacterial small subunit ribosomal RNA", at positions 28 to 522 of the family's 1533-position model. The record is from RNAcentral.
GACGAACGCUGGCGGCGUGCUUAACACAUGCAAGCCGAACGAUGAAGCCGGAGCUUGCUCUGGUGAAUUAGUGGCGAACGGGUGAGUAACACGUGAGUAACCUGCCCUUGACUAUGGGAUAACUGCGGGAAACUGUAGCUAAUACCGGAUACGACCCUCGGAGGCAUCUCCUGGGGGUGGAAAGAAUUUCGGUAAAGGAUGGACCCGCGGCCUAUCAGCUAGUUGGUGAGGUAAAGGAUCACCAAGGCGACGACGGGUAGCCGGCCUGAGAGGGUGACCGGCCACACUGGGACUGAGACACGGCCCAGACUCCUACGGGAGACAGCAGUGGGGAAUAUUGCACAAUGGGCGCAAGCCUGAUGCAGCAACGCCGCGUGAGGGAUGACGGCCUUCGGGUUGUAAACCUCUUUUAGCAGGGAAGAAGCGAAAGUGACGGUACCUGCAGAAAAAGCACCGGCUAACUACGUGCCAGCAGCCGCCGAA